CCUACGGGUGACUGCAGUGGGGAAUAUUGGACAAUGUGGGCAACCCUGAUCCAGCCAUGCCGCGUGUGUGAAGAAGGCCCUCGGGUUGUAAAGCACUUUCAGUGAGGAAGAACGCCUGGUGGUUAAUACCCAUCAGGAAAGACAUCACUCACAGAAGAAGCACCGGCUAACUCCGUGCCAGCAGCCGCGGUAAUACGGAGGGUGCGAGCGUUAAUCGGAAUUACUGGGCGUAAAGCGCGCGUAGGUGGCUUGAUAAGCCGGUUGUGAAAGCCCCGGGCUCAACCUGGGAACGGCAUCCGGAACUGUCAAGCUAGAGUGCAGGAGAGGAAGGUAGAAUUCCCGGUGUAGCGGUGAAAUGCGUAGAGAUCGGGAGGAAUACCAGUGGCGAAGGCGGCCUUCUGGACUGACACUGACACUGAGGUGCGAAAGCGUGGGUAGCAAACAGGAUUAGAUACCCGUGUAGUC
This 465-nucleotide ribosomal RNA is filed under the name Vreelandella stevensii. Its description in RNAcentral is "partial 16S ribosomal RNA". It matches the Rfam family "Bacterial small subunit ribosomal RNA", at positions 338 to 795 of the family's 1533-position model. The record is from RNAcentral. Lineage: Bacteria; Pseudomonadati; Pseudomonadota; Gammaproteobacteria; Oceanospirillales; Halomonadaceae.